Long non-coding RNA from Drosophila yakuba, 2050 nucleotides. RefSeq lists it as uncharacterized. The record is from RefSeq and is a predicted model, not a curated record. NCBI's taxonomy places the organism in Eukaryota, Metazoa, Arthropoda, Insecta, Diptera, Drosophilidae. The transcript has 2 exons.
GCUCCUUCAUCCUUGCGGCUAUUUGAAUUGCACUGUGUUUUUUAUGGCCAACGGACGGAAUUCGCAGUGGCAUACUUUCUGUGGCUAAAUACAUUUGGAUUGCCCGGCUGGCUGGCUCUUGAUGCAAUUUAAAUGAUUAAGUAUUUCUUUUUUCUCUGUGCAGGGACUUGCAACAGACUUGUGCCGGAAGGCUAAGCGAGAAGCGAUUUAAAAUUUUCAUGAAAUUUCAUUGGAACUGCGUGGAAAUACUGGCCCCUCCAAAGUCAAUUAAAUGGUUCUCGGAAGCGUUUUAAUUUGAAAAACUGGAACGGCUUUAAUGGCGCGUCUUACUUUCCGUUUGAGCCGUUUCUGUUUCAGUAUAUUUAAUUUAUUUCUUUGCCGUUUCAGUAUUUUGGACCGCCCCAGUGGAGCAGAAGCUCCAUUCAUUUGGGCCAUUCAUUAAUUGAGUCAGUCACUAAUUUAUAAGCUGCUGUCGGUGUCCACUUUGUUUCUGAUGCCCAGUUUUUGUUUACAUUCUGGCAAACAGGACACGACAGGACGAAGCGGGUGAUUCGGGAAGGGAGGAGGGAGGAGCGACAGGAUGCUGAUACUGACAAUGGGAAAUCAUGAAAUGUAAACCAAAGGAAAACAUAAGUAAACAGCAAAGGAGAGCCAGCAAAAGGACUCGAAUGGACGAAGCGAAAGCUGGGCGCAAAUUACAUGUAUAAUCAAGUGAAGAAAUACGAGAGCACAUUAAUAAUCUGGAUUCAUUAGCACGAAGCCCUAGAGAACUGCCGGUUAUACCAAAACAGGCAAAACAAACAAAUUGCAAAUUGCAGCGGGCAAGCAAAAAUCGAGAAAAGGAGAAAAACGCAAAUAGGAGCAAACCAGAAAAAAAGGGUGGAAAGAACCGAUGCCAAAUGGCAAAUUGCUUGGCCAACACUUUUCCGGUAUCGAGUGCGCUUUUCGCUUAUGUUACAUAACAACGGGCUAAGCCGUGUAAUACUUGACAUCCAACAAAUUCUCAAUGGCAAUAUACGAAUUUAGUACCACAGGUAAUGAACGUUUUAAAUCGAAAAAAUAUUAAUGUUGUAGUUCCUACUUAAUAUUAGCUGCACAUACGAAUACCUUUCAUGAUGAAACAUGAGUGCCUUAUUACCUUGCAAAACCAUACAAAAAGUUAAAAAAAAAUCAUAUUUUUAUCCAAUUAAUCAUAUAUUUCAGAGAAAAAACAUUUAAUUACAUUUAGCCAAUUGCCAUGAAAAAAAAAAACAUAGGGAAAGAGAAUGAAAUAUACCAUUAACUUAAUUAUGACAAUUAAUGCCACUUAAACAAUAUUAAAUAUUAUGUGCCCAAGAUAACUGGCCACAAUUCGUAAGUGCUCUUGAUCGCGGGGAAUAAAGCUUUUAAAACGAUAAACUGGAAGGACUCAAGGAUGUGAGCAUAGGUACACUGGCUGUAAACUCAUAACUGGCAAAUGGAAAUUUGUAGAUGCUGUCAAAUUUAAUUAAACGCCACUUUCGGUCGGGCCCAUGAAUAAUCGAGUGCAAAUAAAGAGAAAAUGAAAUUAUUUUGAAUUUGUCACUGUCGCGGUUUGUUGGCAGUAAGUGGCUGACAGCUGCUCCCAAGCCAGUCAGCUGCACCUGCCCAGCCCACCUGGUUGCCAAUGAGACAAGGAGAGGCACUCGAAACAAAUUGCCACAUCCUGAUGUCUCGUCUCGACUCGACUCGACAUCGAGUCGACUCGUCUGGGGUUUGUGCACCCUGGCAACCACAGCAAUAACCUCGACUUUGCCGCAUAAAUCUUCAUCAGUCAAAGAUACUGGGAUACAAGGAUACACUCAAGUAUCCUUUGCUCGUGGCUAUGUGUGCGUGAUUUAUAAUGAAAAGUUCACAGUCGUCGGUCGGUGGCGCUAACGAAAUGCAAACAUGCAUACUAAUUACAUUUAAAACCGUCGGCUAAGCCAAGUUAAGCACGAGAAUAAAUCCUUUUUGAGCGCGGAAGGGCGAGUUAUAAUAAUAACAAAAAAAAAAAGAAAAAUAAAUGAUUACAAGUGUAGGAUGUGUAAAA